GAAAUGCGAUAAGUAAUGUGAAUUGCAGAAUUCAGUGAAUCAUCGAAUCUUUGAACGCAUCUUGCGCUCCUUGGUAUUCCUUGGAGCAUGCCUGUUUGAGUAUCAUGAAAUCUUCAAAGUAAAUCUUUUGUUAACUCAAUUGGCUUCUACUUUGGUAUUGGAGGUCUUUGCAGCUUCACACCUGCUCCUCUUUGUUCAUUAGCUGGAUCUCAGUGUUAUGCUUGGUUCCACUCGGCGUGAUAAGUUAUCUAUCGCUGAGGACACUGUAAAAGGUGGCCAAGGUAAAUGCAGAUGAACCGCUUCUAAUAGUCCAUUGACUUGGACAAUACUUUUAUGAUCUGAUCUCAAAUCAGGUAGGACUACCCGCUGAACUUAAGCA
This 379-nucleotide unclassified non-coding RNA is filed under the name plant metagenome. Its description in RNAcentral is "partial contains 5.8S ribosomal RNA, internal transcribed spacer 2, and large subunit ribosomal RNA". The stretch from base 1 to 105 matches the Rfam family "5.8S ribosomal RNA", at positions 50 to 154 of the family's 154-position model. The record is from RNAcentral.